This 1000-nucleotide ribosomal RNA is filed under the name Candidatus Phytoplasma vitis. Its description in RNAcentral is "bacterial SSU rRNA". It matches the Rfam family "Bacterial small subunit ribosomal RNA", at positions 227 to 1236 of the family's 1533-position model. Lineage: Bacteria; Bacillati; Mycoplasmatota; Mollicutes; Acholeplasmatales; Acholeplasmataceae. The record is from RNAcentral.
GGGCUUGCGCCACAUUAGUUAGUUGGUGAGGUAAAGGCUUACCAAGAUUAUGAUGUGUAGCUGGACUGAGAGGUUGAACAGCCACAUUGGGACUGAGACACGGCCCAAACUCCUACGGGAGGCAGCAGUAGGGAAUUUUCGGCAAUGGAGGAAACUCUGACCGAGCGACGCCGCGUGAACGAUGAAGUAUUUCGGUAUGUAAAGUUCUUUUAUUGAAGAAGAAAAAAUAGUGGAAAAACUAUCUUGACGUUAUUCAAUGAAUAAGCCCCGGCUAACUAUGUGCCAGCAGCCGCGGUAAGACAUAGGGGGCGAGCGUUAUCCGGAAUUAUUGGGCGUAAAGGGUGCGUAGGCGGUUAGAUAAGUCUAUAAUUUAAUUUCAGUGCUUAACGCUGUCUUGUUAUAGAAACUGUCUUGACUAGAGUGAGAUAGAGGCAAGCGGAAUUCCAUGUGUAGCGGUAAAAUGUGUAAAUAUAUGGAGGAACACCAGAAGCGUAGGCGGCUUGCUGGGUCUUUACUGACGCUGAGGCACGAAAGCGUGGGGAGCAAACAGGAUUAGAUACCCUGGUAGUCCACGCUGUAAACGAUGAGUACUAAGUGUCGGGGUAACUCGGUACUGAAGUUAACACAUUAAGUACUCCGCCUGAGUAGUACGUACGCAAGUAUGAAACUUAAAGGAAUUGACGGGACUCCGCACAAGCGGUGGAUCAUGUUGUUUAAUUCGAAGAUACACGAAAAACCUUACCAGGUCUUGACAUACUCUGCAAAGCUAUAGAAAUAUAGUGGAGGUUAUCAGGGAUACAGGUGGUGCAUGGUUGUCGUCAGUUCGUGUCGUGAGAUGUUAGGUUAAGUCCUAAAACGAACGCAACCCCUGUCGCUAGUUGCCAGCACGUAAUGGUGGGGACUUUAGCGAGACUGCCAAUUAAACAUUGGAGGAAGGUGGGGAUAACGUCAAAUCAUCAUGCCCCUUAUGAUCUGGGCUACAAACGUGAUACAAUGGCUA